Molecule: ribosomal RNA, 520 nt
Filed under: Oxygymnocypris stewartii
Lineage: Eukaryota; Metazoa; Chordata; Actinopteri; Cypriniformes; Cyprinidae
Description: partial 16S ribosomal RNA
Rfam family: Bacterial large subunit ribosomal RNA
Source: RNAcentral
UAUAGGAGGUCCAGGCUGGGCAGUGACUACAAGUUCAACGGCCGCGGUAUUUUGACCGUGCAAAGGUAGCGCAAUCACUUGUCUCUUAAAUAGAGACCUGUAUGAAUGGCUAAACGAGGGCUUAACUGUCUCCCCCCUCCAGUCAGUGAAAUUGAUCUACCCGUGCAGAAGCGGGUGUAAUAAUACAAGACGAGAAGACCCUUUGGAGCUUAAGGUACAAAAAUCAGCCACGUCAAGCAACUUAAUAUAUAGCAAAAACUUUGUGGAUAAUGACAUUUUUACCUUCGGUUGGGGCGACCACGGAGGAAUUAAGAGCCUCCAGGUGGACUGGGAAAACAUCCUAUAGCCAAGAGAGACAUCUCUAGGCCACAGAACAUCUGACCAAUCAUGAUCCGGCUGAUAAAGCCGAUCAACGAACCAAGUUACCCUAGGGAUAACAGCGCAAUCCUCUCCCAGAGUCCAUAUCGACGAGCGCGUUUACGACCUCGAUGUUGGAUCAGGACAUCCUAAUGGUGCAGCC